UCCCUGGUGGCUCAGACGUUAAAGCGUCUGCCUGCAAUGCGGGAGACCCAAGUUCAAUCCUUGGGUCGGGAA
Molecule: transfer RNA, 72 nt
Organism: Ovis aries (sheep)
Lineage: Eukaryota; Metazoa; Chordata; Mammalia; Artiodactyla; Bovidae
Rfam family: tRNA
About the family: Transfer RNA (tRNA) molecules are approximately 80 nucleotides in length. Their secondary structure includes four short double-helical elements and three loops (D, anti-codon, and T loops). Further hydrogen bonds mediate the characteristic L-shaped molecular structure. tRNAs have two regions of fundamental functional importance: the anti-codon, which is responsible for specific mRNA codon recognition, and the 3' end, to which the tRNAs corresponding amino acid is attached (by aminoacyl-tRNA synthetases). tRNAs cope with the degeneracy of the genetic code in two manners: having more than one tRNA (with a specific anti-codon) for a particular amino acid; and 'wobble' base-pairing, i.e. permitting non-standard base-pairing at the 3rd anti-codon position.
Source: Rfam